UUUUAGUUAGUCUACUAAUAUAAUAUAUAGGCUAAUAUAAUAUUAUUCUUGUUGCCAUUGUUAAUAUGAUUAUCAUUUGUCAAAAAUAAAUUGAUAAAAAUAUCAAGCAGCCAAAAGAAACCACGCGAAAGAUUCAGUUUCGACAGAAAACAAGAUUGAUUGUUUCAGAAAACUGUUUUCCCGCAAUUGCUGUCGAGGGACUUAAAUAACCCAUUUAACAUUGCACGAGGACGGACUCCUCCUGGACCGUUUGCUGCGUCCCUUCUCACACAGAUCACAGAGAGGAAAUCAUCAUCACACGGACUCAGAUGGCCCGAGGCGCUGCGUCGAUGAAAUUGGAUAUUUAAGGCAGCGGAGAAAGCAGUUCACGUUCACUCUCAGCGGGCGCGCGGCCAGAGAGGCAGAGGGUGUAGACGCGCGCUCUGUCACUGCCUAACAAAUAAUAUGAGACUAUAGUGUUGUGAACGAGGCUUCUUAUAACGUGACCGGGAAGAGAACAAGGUACGAAACGCGGAGGCUUUUUGAGGAGGACGGAGGAUGACCGCGAGCGCUCACUUCAGCGCGCGCGUUACCAGUGCGUCAGCUCACAGAAGAGCGCGUGUCACUGAACUCCAGCUGCAGUAAGGCAGCAGAAGCGGGAGAGAUGAAGGUGACCUGUGGCUGGGCCAGGGGCUGCAACACAGGACAUGGGAGCUGCCUCUCACUCCCGCUCGUGUCUUGUGUUGCAGCCAGUGGAACUGCUGCACUGUCAACAUCAGAGAUGGAACCAUCAUUACACCAUCUUACAGUGGCUUCCUGUGAAGUCAUUUCUCUUCUCAGCUUCUUCUGUAAGGAAAACACAGUGCCGAUAAUGAUGUGUAAGUUCCUGAUUACAAGACGCUUAUGUGCAAAUAAACGAUUAUGUGCAAAGGAAAGGCAGAAAAUAA
Long non-coding RNA from Megalobrama amblycephala (Wuchang bream), 926 nucleotides. RefSeq lists it as uncharacterized. The transcript has 2 exons. The record is from RefSeq and is a predicted model, not a curated record. Lineage: Eukaryota; Metazoa; Chordata; Actinopteri; Cypriniformes; Xenocyprididae.